AUCAUGUCAGCAAUGAUGCGAGGACGCUGGAGUAGGAGGAUCACAUGAGCCCAGGAAUUCUCAGCCUUUGUAGAAGAUCAUAUUCAUCUGUACCAAGUUAGGUCUUGAGCAGAUCUCUGCAGGGCCUCAAUGCCACCCACGAGGAGACCUUGUCAAAGGCUGAGAGAUAAGCUGGCAAUUCCAUCAUCCAGUUGCCCUGCUCACAGAGGAUGCAGCCCUCCCCUCAUCCUCUCCUCAGCACCACUGUCCUAGAGGCUGACUGCUGAGGGUGGGGACAAAGUUCUAGAAGACAGAAGUCCAGAUAGCGUACGGCAGACUCUGAGAACCCAUUUGCCCACCUUGACUGCAUUUCAUUAGUUGACUGAACUACUGACAACGAAGAUUAAAAUCACCCCCAAGGAACUACUUCUAAACAGCCUGGCUGCAUCACAACAUCCCUCUGCAAGCAAGUGCUAUUUGACUGUGUGCAAACGCACAAACACAGCACACAGACACACCCAUCUGCCAUGUAUCCAAUAGUAAAGAGGAGGUGUGUGGGGUAGAGAGCCUGCAUCAAGAGGGAAG
Mus musculus (house mouse) is the source of this 564-nucleotide long non-coding RNA. RefSeq annotates it as predicted gene, 39162. NCBI's taxonomy places the organism in Eukaryota, Metazoa, Chordata, Mammalia, Rodentia, Muridae. The transcript has 5 exons. The record is from RefSeq and is a predicted model, not a curated record.